ACCUGGGUGGCUCAGUGGUUGAGUGUCUGUCUUUGGCUCAGGUCGUGAUCCUAGAGUUCUGGGAUCAAGUCCCACCUCAGGGU
Non-coding RNA from Canis lupus familiaris (dog), 83 nucleotides. Lineage: Eukaryota; Metazoa; Chordata; Mammalia; Carnivora; Canidae. The record is from Rfam.